Molecule: ribosomal RNA, 414 nt
Filed under: uncultured microorganism
Description: bacterial SSU rRNA
Rfam family: Archaeal small subunit ribosomal RNA
Source: RNAcentral
CAGCAGCCGCGGUAAUACCGGCGGCCCGAGUGGCGGUCACUAUUAUUGGGCUUAAAGCGUCCGUAACCGGGUUGGGAAGUCCUCCGGGAAAUCUGGCCGCUUAACGGUCAGAAUGCCGGAGGAUACUCCCAGCCUAGGGAGCGGGAGAGGCCGAGGGGAUUCCCGGAGUAGGGGGGAAAUCCUAUAAUCCCGGGAGGACCACCUGUGGCGAAGGCGCUCGGCUGGAACGCGUCCGACGGGGAGGGACGAAGGCCAGGGGAGCAAACCGGAUUAGAUACCCGGGUAGUCCUGGCUGUAAACGAUGCGGACUUUGUGUCGGACAAGCUAUGAGCUUGUCCGGUGCCGGAGGGAAACCGUUAAGUCCGCCGCCUGGGGAGUACGGCCGCAAGGCUGAAACUUAAAGGAAUUGGCGGG